CCUGCUUGCGCAUGCACGAAGUGGGUCUGUGUCGUCAAAGUCAGGCUAGCAGAUGGACAGGUUCGGACUGAAUUUGAAGGUAACAGCUCAAACGAGAAGAACACGACCUGAAAGUCUCCUUCAGCGAUGUAUCACAAAAAAUGGAGACGACAAAAUGCACAAUUAUGCGCAUUGGUGGAGUCUAAGAAGUCUGAGAAUCCAGGUCCCUCAAAUGAGAAUCCAGGCCCCUCUUUUGCUGAUAGCCCAACAGACAUACAGACACAGGAGCAGUCUGAUACAGGAGAAGACCUGUCAUAUACUGUCAUGCUCUCCCCCCAUACACCCUUCUUAUUCGCUCUCUGCUACAUUUUCAUAAUGAACUUGAUUGCAAUAUAAUAUUCUAAUAUAAAUCUGUUUUACCAUGGCAGAACUAUGACAAAUAAAAUGAUGGCCAUGAUGAGCCUCAGAGGAAGAAGUGGGAAGGUUGCCUUCAUGAAGACCCGUCUCUACACGAUAAUCUGUGAUACUGUCUUGAGCUCAUUUGAUACAACUACAACAAAAGUAGAUGAAUACAUGGCCAAAUACUUGAAAUAUGCACCAGAGAGGAUGGGUGGUGGUGGCAGAAAGUAGUAACAAGAAGGGAAGAUUUAACCAGCCGUGUUCAAUGUUUCCCAGUGUUUAGGCUGUUUUUAUAAAGGUUAAAGUUCGA
This is a long non-coding RNA of Micropterus dolomieu (smallmouth bass), 688 nucleotides long. RefSeq lists it as uncharacterized. The transcript has 4 exons. The record is from RefSeq and is a predicted model, not a curated record. NCBI's taxonomy places the organism in Eukaryota, Metazoa, Chordata, Actinopteri, Centrarchiformes, Centrarchidae.